Molecule: ribosomal RNA, 483 nt
Filed under: uncultured bacterium
Lineage: Bacteria
Description: partial 16S ribosomal RNA
Rfam family: Bacterial small subunit ribosomal RNA
Source: RNAcentral
GACGAACGCUGGCGGCGUGCUUAACACAUGCAAGUCGAACGCUGAAGCUCAGCUUUUGUUGGGUGGAUGAGUGGCGAACGGGUGAGUAACACGUGAGUAACCUGCCUCCUUCUUUGGGAUAACGCCCGGAAACGGGUGCUAAUACUGGAUAUUCACUGGUCUUCGCAUGGGGGUUGGUGGAAAGGGUUUUUCUGGUGGGGGAUGGGCUCGCGGCCUAUCAGCUUGUUGGUGGGGUGAUGGCCUACCAAGGCUUUGACGGGUAGCCGGCCUGAGAGGGUAACCGGUCACAUUGGGACUGAGAUACGGCCCAGACUCCUACGGGAGGCAGCAGUGGGGAAUAUUGCACAAUGGGCGCAAGCCUGAUGCAGCGACGCCGCGUGAGGGAUGGAGGCCUUCGGGUUGUGAACCUCUUUCGCUCAUGGUCAAGCCGCAACAAUGGUUGUGGUGAGGGUAGUGGGUAAAGAAGCGCCGGCUAACUACGUG